Non-coding RNA from Cinara cedri, 612 nucleotides. NCBI's taxonomy places the organism in Eukaryota, Metazoa, Arthropoda, Insecta, Hemiptera, Aphididae. The record is from the annotation of a GenBank genome assembly.
AGUGGAAUUUUUAUCGUUGACUGAUGAAAAAAAUGAAGAAAAACCCAUAACGUUCAAUUUGUCAUUAAUGAAUUGUACCAAAACAACAAAAUGCACCUACCGCAGUAGGAAAUGGGAUUUUAAAUUAGUGUUCUGGUAUUUUUGGUGUUUCUCUUUCUAAGGAAAAAAAGGAAAGGAAAGUUUACCGAAAUACUAAAGCUGGUACAAAAUCACUAAACAAAAACAAAAAAAAAUGCAGUAAUUUCCACGUCACCCGAAAAUAUCUCGACCGAACAAUAUUUCUGUCGGUGUCGGCUUAUGCAAAAACGAGCUGCACAAAAUUACACCGAACUGCGGAUUUUGAGUAAACGAUAUUUAGCCCGGACCACAAAAUAAAUUAAUGGAAAACAAUAAAAAUGUCAGAAUGAAAAAAAAAAAAAAAUGCACGUAUUAUAACGAUAAAAUAACAGAAUCGCCAACAUUUCGCCACCCUAUCGUUGUAUAAUAGUUUAUAAAAGAUAUGUUUGUACCGGAUAAUUUAAAUUUGAAAUAAAAUCCGGUCAUAAAUAUUAACAAUACAAAUGAUAAUUUUAUUCCGUCGCAUUUCGCGUAAUUUCUCGCUGUUUAUUUUCA